ACUCCUACGGGAGGCAGCAGUGGGGAAUAUUGCACAAUGGGGGAAACCCUGAUGCAGCCAUGCCGCGUGUGUGAAGAAGGCCUUCGGGUUGUAAAGCACUUUCAGUAGGGAGGAAGGUAGUGUAGUUAACACCUGCAUUAUUUGACGUUACCUACAGAAGAAGCACCGGCUAACUCCGUGCCAGCAGCCGCGGUAAUACGGAGGGUGCGAGCGUUAAUCGGAAUUACUGGGCGUAAAGCGCAUGCAGGCGGCCUGUUAAGUCAGAUGUGAAAGCCCGGGGCUUAACCUCGGAAUUGCAUUUGAAACUGGCAGGCUAGAGUCUUGUAGAGGGGGGUAGAAUUUCAGGUGUAGCGGUGAAAUGCGUAGAGAUCUGAAGGAAUACCAGUGGCGAAGGCGGCCCCCUGGACAAAGACUGACGCUCAGAUGCGAAAGCGUGGGGAGCAAACAGGAUUAGAUACCCUGGUAGCACAGAGC
This 474-nucleotide ribosomal RNA is filed under the name uncultured bacterium. Its description in RNAcentral is "bacterial SSU rRNA". It matches the Rfam family "Bacterial small subunit ribosomal RNA", at positions 335 to 800 of the family's 1533-position model. The record is from RNAcentral.